GCCCAUUACUCAUCACCAAGACAAAUUCCCAUCUCUCUCUCUCUCUCUCACCCCGCCCCAUCUCUUUCUCCUCCAUUUUCAAGAGAAAUUUUGUGAGGACUUGGCAAAUCGGUCAGAGGGAUUGAGUUUUCAGCUUAAUCCAUGAAGUUUACAGGCCUAGACCCCUCUUGGGGUCGUGUAUGGCCUCAGAUGGUUAUGGCAUUGGCCUUUGUAGUUGUUGUAAGCAAUGUGGGUUCAGUCUCUGGUGAUGCUUAUCCUUAUGCUUCACCACCACCACCACCUUAUGAGUACACAUCACCUCCACCACCUGAGCAUUCUCCACCACCACCUUAUGAGUACAAGUCACCUCCUCCACCUGAGCAUUCUCCACCACCACCAUAUGAGUACAAGUCUCCCCCACCUCCAGAGAAGUCUCCUCCACCACCAUAUGAGUACAAGUCUCCCCCACCACCCAUGAAAGAACCAGCACCAGCACCAUAUGAAUACAAGUCACCCCCACCACCAGAACACUCUCCACCACCUCCAUAUGAGUACAAGUCACCUCCUCCACCAGUACACUCCCCACCACCACCAUAUGAGUACAAGUCUCCCCCACCUCCUGAGAAGUCUCCACCUCCUCCAUAUGAGUACAAGUCUCCCCCACCACCUGAGAAGUCUCCUCCACCACCAUAUGAGUACAAGUCUCCACCACCACCCGUGAAAGAACCAGCACCAGCACCAUAUGAAUACAAGUCACCCCCACCACCAGAACACUCUCCACCACCACCAUAUGAGUACAAGUCCCCACCACCACCUGUACACUCUCCUCCACCACCAUACGAGUACAAGUCCCCACCACCACCAACAAAACCAUACUACUAUAAGUCCCCACCACCACCAACAAAACCAUACAAGUACUCAUCCCCACCUCCACCACCAUAUGAGUACAAGUCCCCACCACCACCUGUACACUCUCCUCCACCACCAUACUACUAUAAGUCCCCACCACCACCAGAGAAAUCUCCUCCUCCACCUUACGAGUACAAGUCACCACCACCACCAACAAAACCAUACAAGUACCAUAUGAGUACAAGUCCCCACCACCACCAACAAAACCAUACAAGUACUCAUCCCCACCUCCACCACCAUAUGAGUACAAGUCCCCACCACCACCUGUACACUCUCCUCCACCACCAUACUACUAUAAGUCCCCACCACCACCAGAGAAAUCUCCUCCUCCGCCUUACGAGUACAAGUCACCACCACCACCAACUAAACCAUACAAGUACUCAUCCCCACCACCACCACCAUAUGAGUACAAGUCCCCACCACCACCAACAAAACCAUACAAGUACUCAUCCCCACCUCCACCACCAUAUGAGUACAAGUCCCCACCACCACCUGUUUACUCUCCACCACCUUACUACUAUAAGUCUCCACCACCACCACCACCACACUACUACUACAAAUCUCCACCACCACCACCCAAGGUUCUUCCUCCAUACCAUUACACGUCUCCACCUCCACCAAUCCACCACCACCCAUUGAUUGUCAGGGUUGUUGGAAAGGUCUAUUGCUACAGAUGCUAUGACUGGGGAUAUCCCAUCAAGUCACAUGACAAGAAGCAUCUUGAAGGUGCCGUAGUGGAAGUGACAUGCAAAACUGGCAAGGAGGAGAUCACAGCAUAUGGUACCACCAAGAACAAUGGCAAGUUUGCCCUCACAGUCAAGGACUUUGACUACAAGAAGUAUGGUGCCGAAGCAUGCAAGGCUAAGCUCCACGCUGCACCCAAAGACUCACCAUGCAACAUCCCCACUAACUUACACUGGGGCAAAACUGGUGCCAAGCUCAAGGUCAAAUCUAAGAACUCAUAUGAAGUUGUGCUCUCAGCCAGGCCAUUUGCUUAUGCUCCCAAGACUCCUUACAAGGAGUGUGAGAAGCCAGUCACUAAGCCUCCUCCAUACGUGUACAAGUCUCCACCACCACCAGUCCACUCUCCUCCACCAUACUACUACAAGUCCCCACCACCACCACCAUAUGUGUACAAGUCUCCACCACCACCAGUCCACUCUCCACCACCAUACUACUAUAAAUCCCCACCACCACCAACAUACUUGUACAAGUCCCCACCACCACCAACAUAUGUGUACAAGUCCCCACCACCACCAGUCCACUCUCUACCACCAUACUACUAUAAAUCCCCACCACCACCAACAUACUUGUACAAGUCCCCACCACCACCACCAUAUGUGUACAAGUCCCCACCACCACCAGUCUACUCUCCACCACCAUACUACUAUAAAUCCCCACCACCACCAACAUACUUGUACAAGUCCCCACCUCCACCUGUUUACUUAUACAAGUCCCCACCACCACCAGUGAAAGCUCUUCCUCCACCAUAUGAGUACAAGUCCCCACCACCACCAGAGAAGUCUCCUCCUCCACCAUACUACUACAAAUCCCCACCACCACCACCAUAUGAGUACAAGUCCCCACCACCACCUGUACACUCUCCUCCACCACCAUACUACUAUAAGUCUCCUCCUCCACCAUAUGAAUACAAGUCCCCACCACCACCAGAGAAAUCUCCUCCUCCACCAUACUACUACAAAUCCCCACCACCACCAACUGAACCAUACAAGUACUCAUCCCCACCUCCACCACCAUAUGAGUACAAGUCCCCACCACCACCUGUACACUCUUCUCCACCACCAUACGAGUACAAGUCCCCACCACCUCCGGAAUACUCACCACCACCAUACUACUAUAAGUCCCCACCACCACCAGAGAAAUCUCCUCCUCCACCUUACGAGUACAAGUCCCCACCACCACCAACAGAACCAUACAAAUACUCAUCCCCACCACCACCACCAUAUGAGUACAAGUCCCCACCACCACCUGUACACUCUCCACCACCACCAUACGAGUACAAGUCACCACCACCACCAGAGAAAUCUCCUCCUCCACCAUACUACUACAAAUCCCCACCACCACCAACAGAACCAUACAAGUACUCUUCCCCACCUCCACCACCAUAUGAGUACAAGUCCCCACCACCACCUGUACACUCUCCUCCACCACCAUACGAGUACAAAUCCCCACCACCUCCGGAACACUCACCUCCACCGCCAUAUGAGUACAAAUCACCUCCCCCACCGGCCUACAUUUAUGCAUCUCCCCCACCACCCACUCAAUAAUAAGCUUGGAACGUUCAGCCACGUGCCAAUACCAAUUAUGUUUUAGUUUUAAAAAUGCAAUAAAGGGCUCAGUUAGUGUAAGAUAUCGAGAUCAAGCAUCGAAUCCAGAUUUGUUAAAUAAGGGUCUGACUGCACCAAUUGAAUGCCACCCUCUAUGCAGUAGUUCAGAUCUUCUCGUACCUACUACUUCUCUAGUGGCCAUGUUACACAUUAUGCUCUUAUUAUAUUCUGGCUUGGGAGGCUUCCAAGAGAGAAAAAGCUGGACUAGGAAGUGGGGAUUCGAAACGUAACUAAGAGUUGGAUGUGCGAGCCUGUCAACUUUUUAAUAUUUUUUUUAAAUAUCAGAGGGCGUUCAUAUCUGGUAGUAAAUUAUAUAAACUGUAUAGGGUAUGGCCUUGUUUGAUUGGAGGUUCUAUUCUAUUUAUUAUUAUGUCAAUUUGUUUCUUUGAACCUCUUGUGCUUUGUGCAUUGAGAUUAUUAUCAAUAAAAGAAGACAGUUCUUUCAUAA
This is an RNA transcript of Quercus lobata, 3684 nucleotides long. It is a transcript of the gene named extensin-2-like, with no coding region annotated. The record is from RefSeq and is a predicted model, not a curated record. Lineage: Eukaryota; Viridiplantae; Streptophyta; Magnoliopsida; Fagales; Fagaceae. The transcript is spliced from 4 exons.